This 808-nucleotide long non-coding RNA is filed under the name Marmota monax (woodchuck). Lineage: Eukaryota; Metazoa; Chordata; Mammalia; Rodentia; Sciuridae. The record is from RNAcentral.
GACCUAUUUAAGGUCAAAGAAGGUAGUAUAUAGUUGAAUUUGAUUAUGCUUCAUAGAUCAGUACUAUUUCAUCUACUCAGUAUUUGCCUUCUGAAGACAGAGUUUUUAGAUAAGUUCAUUUCUGCUAGCUUGAUAUUACCUACCAUUAGUUAAUAGGCAUAUUGGAGUGUGUCUUGAAACAAGAUUUCUUUUGAGAUUCAUAACUAAAAUAGAAAUAAAAGAGAUCCUCCAGGAAAUUUCCAAAUCAUUUUGGAAUAUUUUGCAGAAUAUUUUGGGAUUUGUUUUGUAGUGAAAUGCAAAACCAUAUAGGUCCUAAGACGUUAUUUUAGAUAGUACCUAGUCCAAGUUAAAUAUCGUUGAAAAAGCAUAGCAAGGAAGUUGGAAUUCUCUUUUAGUCCUCUCAUCAAUUUUUCUGCUUAAACCUGAUUGAUACUAAUUUACAUAUAUUAGUAAUGCUUGCUGAUUUAAUUUUUUUUUAGCAGAAACAUCUAGGAUCUUAUGCUCAGGAAUAUCAGCAGCCAGCAAUAUCUAACUAGAAUUUAGUAAGAUUGCUUUGUUUUAUUGAAUGUGUUUUUCCACUUAAUGUGUAUUUAUGGCAAACAAUUUUGGUGUCUAGUCUAUGUGAUAAUACUGUAUUUCCUUUAAAACUAAAUUUAAUUUUAAAGAGGGAGAAUCAAUUGAAGGGUAUUCAGUAAAUAACAGUGAAAAUAUAGCAGUAAUUAUGAUGAUAAUAUGUGAAUGAUUAAAGUUUAAGAAAUACUGGUGUAGUUGAGAACUUUUAAUUCAGGCAUGGGCUCCAAUACUAUGA